GACGAACGCUGGCGGCGUGCCUAAUACAUGCAAGUAGGACGCAGUUGCGAACGGGUGAGUAACGCGUAGGUAACUACCUAUUAGAGGGGGAUAACUAUUGGAAACGAUAGCUAAUACCGCAUCCUAGUAGAUGGACCUUCGUUGUAUUAGCUAGUAGGUAGGGUAAUGGCCUACCUAGGCAACGAUACAUAGCCGACGUGGGAAGGGGAUCGGACAAAAUGGGACGUGGACAAGGGCCAGAAUCCUACGGGAGGGCGAAGGAGGGAAUCAUCGGAAAUGGGGGGCACCCUGGACGAGAAAAGCCGGGGGAGUGAAGAAGGUUUUCCGGGCGUAAAGGUCUGUUGUGAAGGAAGCGGUACUUAACCAGAAAGGGACGGCUAACUACGUGCCAGCAGCCGCGGUAAUUC
RNAcentral lists this ribosomal RNA (407 nucleotides) under uncultured bacterium. RNAcentral describes it as "partial 16S ribosomal RNA". It matches the Rfam family "Bacterial small subunit ribosomal RNA", at positions 28 to 526 of the family's 1533-position model. The record is from RNAcentral.